Small nucleolar RNA from Andrographis paniculata, 107 nucleotides. The record is from RefSeq and is a predicted model, not a curated record. NCBI's taxonomy places the organism in Eukaryota, Viridiplantae, Streptophyta, Magnoliopsida, Lamiales, Acanthaceae.
GGGCGUGGCGGUGAUGAUAGAUGUUAAUCCCAGCUCAUUUUGAGGCCUUCUCUGUGUGAGGUCAGGGAAAUUAACCUAUUUUCUCACAUACGUCGUCUGAGCUUCUC